GUGGUAGAGGGGAGGUCCCUCAGCCUGGAUUGCGAGAGGGUUCAGGCCAGGCCAAGAGACUCCACCGGUGCAGG
This 74-nucleotide microRNA precursor is filed under the name Myotis lucifugus (little brown bat). RNAcentral describes it as "mir-9193 microRNA precursor family". It matches the Rfam family "mir-9193 microRNA precursor family". Lineage: Eukaryota; Metazoa; Chordata; Mammalia; Chiroptera; Vespertilionidae. The record is from Rfam by way of RNAcentral.